GUAAAAUUGCUGGGCAAGAGACAAAAAUCAGACACGCCGCAAUAGAAAUAUGCGGCUAAUGCCUGCCGACAGCCAAAAGGAUCGUCAUUAGCAUCCCGUAAAAAGAUCGAACGACAAAAAAUUGCCUAGGAAGAGCGAAUACUGCCCGGUUGCAGUAGCGAGGGCUACCAAUUCAUCACAGUCUGUCACUCCUCAUCCCUGUCUUUCGUCUGGCCGGGCCCAUCAAUCUCAGGUUGUAACUGUAUUACAGGGACAUGCAGCGUGAUGUAACAGCUUACCAGGCUGAUCCCUGGUGCUGCGCCACGUGCCACGUGCCACAUCCAGUCGCGCUGUCCUGUCCUGUGCUCUCCUGUCCUGUCCCUUCCCCUGUGCAGCUGCUGUUGCCGCCGACGCCGCCGCACUCAACAUUUUCAACCCCCUCAGAAGGGGUUUCAAUCGGGGGAUUUCGGGAUGGCGGGAGGGAGUGGUGGCUGGCAGUCUACUUUUUCC
RNAcentral lists this long non-coding RNA (489 nucleotides) under Drosophila guanche. The record is from RNAcentral. Lineage: Eukaryota; Metazoa; Arthropoda; Insecta; Diptera; Drosophilidae.